Molecule: long non-coding RNA, 552 nt
Organism: Carassius auratus (goldfish)
Lineage: Eukaryota; Metazoa; Chordata; Actinopteri; Cypriniformes; Cyprinidae
Exons: 4
Source: RefSeq, a predicted model, not a curated record
UGUAAACAUGCCAGCCGGGUGCAGCAGCGGAGAUGCGCCCUCAGCUUUUAAGUGUCUGAGGGAUUCCUCUUUCAGUCAACCAGGAGACAUGGAAAACAGCGCACACCGCAGGAACGGUAUCAUGGAAAAUAUUAGUGGUUUUGAAACCGUGAAAUUGUCAAAUCACGGUAAACCUUGAAACGAUGUGAAGAUCUGCUGGAUUCAGUGCAGGAGGAUGAAGGAGAGCAGAGAACAGCAGAGGAACAGGAAGCUCUGAGAGACGCUCUGAGCACCGUUACACAGAUUCCCUGAACAACACGAGGCUUCCUGAAUAUCUCUAACCGAUGUUUCAGCAUCACAGAUAGAUUUAGAGACACAGCCUUUUACAACUGUUGACUGGCCACCUAAAGUCCCUGAUGAAAAGAAAGAAAAGAGAGAUUCUCACCUGAGGCUUUAAAGCAGCGGUCUUCACUCCCUGAACACUUCAAUAUGUUUGAGCAGCUCUUGUCAUCACAGGAGUAACACAUCUUUCCGUUGGGGACAAUAGAGGGAUCUACAGGACAAAAACAUGCA